This 427-nucleotide ribosomal RNA is filed under the name uncultured bacterium. RNAcentral's name for it is "partial 16S ribosomal RNA". It matches the Rfam family "Bacterial small subunit ribosomal RNA", at positions 355 to 774 of the family's 1533-position model. The record is from RNAcentral.
UGGGGAAUAUUGCACAAUGGGCGCAAGCCUGAUGCAGCCAUGCCGCGUGUAUGAAGAAGGCCUUCGGGUUGUAAAGUACUUUCAGCGAGGAGGAAGGCGUUGUGGUUAAUAACCGCAACGAUUGACGUUAUUCGCAGAAGAAGCACCGGCUAACUCCGUGCCAGCAGCCGCGGUAAUACGGAGGGUGCAAGCGUUAAUCGGAAUUACUGGGCGUAAAGCGCACGCAGGCGGUCUGUCAAGUCGGAUGUGAAAUCCCCGGGCUCAACCUGGGAACUGCAUCCGAAACUGGCAGGCUAGAGUCUUGUAGAGGGGGGUAGAAUUCCAGGUGUAGCGGUGAAAUGCGUAGAGAUCUGGAGGAAUACCGGUGGCGAAGGCGGCCCCCUGGACAAAGACUGACGCUCAGGUGCGAAAGCGUGGGGAGCAAACA